GUGUGGACCUGGGUGGAGCCACCACAGGCGUAGACCUUGUAAAUAUUCAAAUAAGAAUUUGAAGGCUGAAGUGGAGAAGGGUUUCAUGUG
Molecule: microRNA precursor, 90 nt
Filed under: Loxodonta africana (African savanna elephant)
Lineage: Eukaryota; Metazoa; Chordata; Mammalia; Proboscidea; Elephantidae
Description: miRNA (ENSLAFG00000032904.1)
Source: RNAcentral